Molecule: long non-coding RNA, 270 nt
Filed under: Elaeis guineensis (African oil palm)
Lineage: Eukaryota; Viridiplantae; Streptophyta; Magnoliopsida; Arecales; Arecaceae
Description: long non-coding RNA (EGUI_LNC022528)
Source: RNAcentral
CAUGACAUGGUGCAUCACAUGCACCAUCCAUUAUAUAUUGGACAGCUAUGCAUAAAUGUGAGCCAUGCGAUAUGUACAUCAUGUACGGCUGCAUGCAGCUGUCCAUCACACGAUAGAUGGUAUGCGUGAUGUAUCGUAUUGUGCAGUUUAUCAUGAGUAUCGCAGAGAAUCUCUGCUCGGAAAUAUAAUGUCAAGAUAAAAUAGGUGUUGAAUUGUUAAAUUGAUAAAUUUAUUAAAGGUGGCAUUAAAUGAGCUAGAAGGUAUCCCAUG